CCUAGUUGAAUGAAAGACCCGUUUCUAUUGGCCACUACAGUCACCAUUUGGCCACGCCCACCACGGAAGUCUGCCACCGAGGAGAGCGAUGCUGUGCUAUGGAGAGCGGAAUAUUGUUUGUAAGAUGAUUCUUCACUAGAGGUUACAUUGAAGUCAGGCAAUGACAGGAAGGAUGGCUGGGGAUUCCAAGAUCUGAUAAAAAAAGUUACAUGAAGAUACUUGGACUACUCGUGGGACCAAAGAGCUAUUACACCAGCUCCAGUCUGGAUCCUGUCUCUAUCAGAUGACCCUACACAUAAGGAAAGUUCGGACAUCACGAGGACUUCAAAACUGUUCAAAGCGCUAUACAAAUAAAUGUGAACAAAAUUGAA
Non-coding RNA from Misgurnus anguillicaudatus (oriental weatherfish), 371 nucleotides. The record is from RefSeq and is a predicted model, not a curated record. Lineage: Eukaryota; Metazoa; Chordata; Actinopteri; Cypriniformes; Cobitidae.